AACGAACGCUGGCGGCAGGCCUAACACAUGCAAGUCGAACGAGAUCUUCGGAUCUAGUGGCGGACGGUGAGUAACGCGUGGGAACGUGCCCUUCUCUACGGAAUAGUCCUGGGAAACCUGGGUUUAAUACCGUAUACGCCCUUCGGGGAAAGAAUUUCGGGAAGGAUCGGCCCGCGUUGGAUUAGGUACGUUGGUGGGGUAAAUGGGCCUACCGAAGCCGACGAUCCAUAGCUGGUUUGAGAGGAUGAUCAGCCACACUGGGACUGAGACACGGCCCAGACC
This 282-nucleotide ribosomal RNA is filed under the name uncultured bacterium. RNAcentral's name for it is "partial 16S ribosomal RNA". It matches the Rfam family "Bacterial small subunit ribosomal RNA", at positions 29 to 337 of the family's 1533-position model. The record is from RNAcentral.